AACGGGCGGAGUUUUCCUAGUCUAGAGAGUGUAUUGUAGCCUUGUUAGAGGGCUGCAGCUCAUUCAGCAGCUCUGUAAAUGAAGUUCGUUGUUCAACUAAAGGAGAUGCCCAGGAUGCGCCGCAAGCAAUGAAGAUGAAAACUGUUGCACUUUUUUUCUUGGUAGCUGUAAGUCAUCCAUGCUUCACAGCUGUACAACAAAGUGCUGAGAAUGUAGUGUAGAAGGCAGUAACUGGAGUUCGCCUAUUAUACUGGUACCAAAACCAGAUGCAACACACACUCUGUGUGGACUAGUGAAAGGCGAAUGCAGUGACAAAAGCGGAUUCAUAUCCUAUGCCAAGGUUGGAAGAUUGCAUUGAGAAAGUGGGACAAUCAAAAUUUAUCAUAAGGAUUGACGUGCUAAAAGAAUAUUGGCAAGUACUGUUAUUGGAGUGAACAAAGGAGAUAUCUACUUUUGUGACCCCAAAUGGACUAUAUCAGUUUAAAGUCAUGCCAUUUGGUAUGAAGAAUGCACCUGUGACAUUUCAAAGACUGACAAACAAAGUAAUUGCAGGUCUGAGCAAUUGUGCUGUUUAUAUUGAUGACUUGAUAGUUUUCAGUCCUACGUGGGAAGAGCAUUUACGACAUCUGGAAGAAUUAUUUACUCGAUUACCAGAAGCUAAUUUGGUCAUAAACUUGGCUAAAAGUGAAUUUGCAAAAGUGCAAGUUACAUUUCUAGGCCAUGACAUUGGACAUGGUAAAGUGGCUCUGAGAGAUGUGAAAAGCAAGGCUAUCAUGGAUUUCCCCAUGCCUACAACAAAAUGAGAAGUUUUGAGAUUGCUGGGCAUGUGUGGGUUUAUUGGAAAUUUACACCAAAUUUUAGCAGUGUGGUUGCUCCACUGACUGAACUAUUAAAAAAGAACAAGAAGUUUCAAUGGACACUGGAAUGUCAGAAGGCAUUUGGCAGUUUGAAAACUGCAUUACUCCAAUUUUGGCAGUUCCCAAUUAUGCCAAGCAGUUUAAGUUGGCCAUUGACACAAGUGAUAUAGGCAUUGGGAUCGUUCUGUUACAUCAGGUGACACUGGAAUUGAAAAACUGAUAGGAUAUUUUUCACGGAAGUUAAAUGCACAACAGAGAAGACAUUCAAUGAUCAAAAAGGAGACUUUGGGUUUGGUGUUAGCAUUUUGGCAUUUUGAAAUCCAUGUGGCAAACAAUUCAAAAACAAUUGUUUAUACAGACCAUAAUCCUUUAAAGUUUCUGGACAAAUUUUGAGACAGAAGUGCAAAGAUGGAGUUAUUCAGAAGGAGUUAUUGCUGCAAUCAUUUAAUCUACAGAUUAUAUAUGUCACUGGACGAGAAAAUCUGAUUGCAGUUGCUUUGUCAAGAGUUGGAAACUUAAAGGGAAAAUUGGACAUUUAAAAACCUGGACUCUGAACUGGAAUGAUUUCUGUUGAUGCGAAGGAUUUGUAUAUAUAUAUCAUUAUGUUAAUGCAUGCAUCUGGUAAUGUGAUAUAGAUAAGUAUAGGAGAUAGUGUAAGAUGGGUUUAAUAAAAAUGAAGCUAUCUUUUUAAAUCAUGAUGCUUCAUUUUUCAAUACGGAGGGCGAUGUGAGGAUAAUUCUCAUCAUUUUAUUGAAAUUUAUUGUAAAAUCGAGUAAUAGUAGGAUGUGUCUGUGUCUGAUUGU
Carcharodon carcharias (great white shark) is the source of this 1660-nucleotide long non-coding RNA. RefSeq lists it as uncharacterized. The transcript has 3 exons. NCBI's taxonomy places the organism in Eukaryota, Metazoa, Chordata, Chondrichthyes, Lamniformes, Lamnidae. The record is from RefSeq and is a predicted model, not a curated record.